This 253-nucleotide ribosomal RNA is filed under the name uncultured bacterium. RNAcentral's name for it is "partial 16S ribosomal RNA". It matches the Rfam family "Bacterial small subunit ribosomal RNA", at positions 524 to 776 of the family's 1533-position model. The record is from RNAcentral.
UACAGAGGGUGCAAGCGUUAAUCGGAAUGACUGGGCGUAAAGGGCGUGUAGGCGGUAGUGUAAGUUAGAUGUAAAAUCCCUGGGCUCAACCUAGGAAGGUCAUCUAAAACUGCAGUACUAGAGUAUGGGAGAGGAAAGUGGAAUUUCCGGUGUAGCGGUGAAAUGCGUAGAUAUCGGAAGGAACACCAGUGGCGAAGGCGGCUUUCUGGCCUAAUACUGACGCUGAGGCGCGAAAGCGUGGGGAGCAAACAGG